This 2255-nucleotide long non-coding RNA is filed under the name Mus musculus (house mouse). Its description in RNAcentral is "long non-coding RNA chr18:12970393-12972648". The record is from RNAcentral. Lineage: Eukaryota; Metazoa; Chordata; Mammalia; Rodentia; Muridae.
AAUAUAGUACUGGAAGUUCUAGCCAGAGCAAUUAGACAACAAAAGAAGGUCAAAGGGAUACAAAUCGGAAAGGAAGAAGUCAAAAUAUCACUAUUUGCAGAUGAUAUGAUAGUAUACUUAAGUGACCCCAAAAAUUCCACCAGAGAAGGCCUGCAGCUGAUAAACAGCUUCAGAAAAGUGGCCGGAUGUAAAAUUAACUCAAACAAAUCAAUGGUCUUCCUCUACUCAAGAGAUAAACAGACUGAGAAAGAAAUAAGGGAAAGGACACCCUUCACAAUAGUCAGAAAUAAUAAAAUAUCUUUGUGUGACUCUAACCAAGCUAGUGAAAGAUCUGUAUGAUAAGAACUUCAAGUCUUUUAAGAAAGAAAUCGAAGAAGACCUCAGAAGAUGGAAAGAUCUCCCAUGCUCAUGGAUUGGCAGGAUUAAUUAGUAAAAAUGGCCAUCUUCCUCAAAGCAGUCUGCAGAUUCAAUGUAAUCCCCAUCAAAAUUCCAACUCAAUUCUUCAUAGAGUUAGAAAGAGCAAUUUGCAAAUUAAUUUGGAAUAACCAAAAACUCAGGAUAGCCAAACUAUUUUCAUCAAUAAAAGAACUUCUGGGGUUAUCACCAUUCCUGACCUCAAGCUGUACUACAGAGCAAUAGUGUGAAAAACUUCAUGGUAUUGGUACAGAGACAGGCAGGUAGACCAAUAUAGAAUUGAAUAUCCAGAAAUGAAUCCACACACCUAUGGUCACUUGAUGUUUGACAAAGAAGCUAAAGUCAUCCAGUAGAAAAAAAAAACAGCAUUUUCAACAAAUGGUGCUGGUUCAACUGUCGGUCAGAAAGUUGAAGAAUGCAAAUUGAUCCUCUCUUAUCUCCUUGUACAAAGCUCAAGUCCAAUAGGAUCAAGGACCUCCACAUAAAACCAGAGACACUGAAACUUAUAGAAGAGAAAGUGGGGAAGAGCCUUGAACACAUGGGCAUAGGGGAAAAUUUCCUGAACAGGACACCAAGUGCUUAUGCUCUAAGAUCAACAGUUCCACCUCUUAAAGGAUGUGCUGGACUUUUUGUUUUACAUGUCAGUGUGGGGUACAGUAAGAGUUCUGUAGAUAACGUUCAAUUAAUAGCUCCAGGCAUCUUUGCAGUGCACACUUCCUUACCCAAGGAAAGUUUAAAGGGAACCAACAACUACCGUCAUUACCGAUGUCGAAAGAGAGAAAAGAUACAGGUAUUAUGGAGCUUUGAAUGUUUAUAAGACAUGGAAGGAGGCAAACACAUUUUUGUGAACAAAGGAAUUGUCUGGACUGAAUGCUACUUUAGAACAGAAUUCAUAACCAAUACUGUAAAAAGCAGCAUUAAAUUUGGAAUGAUCCUAUCUAAUUCAAAUUUUUUGCAUAACGGAUCAAUGAGCCCAGUCUACACUAAUUGUAAUAAUCAGUGUGAGAAAAUUGUGCCCAAACACAACAUUGUAUCACUGGACUGUAGUGAAAAACAUAAGUCAUCUCACAUUUUUCAAUCCUCUCCAGCUCUCGUUCAUUUUAUACACCCAAAUCUAUCGAGAUGCCCUCAAAAACAUUUAAAAAACAAAAUGAACAAACUAUACAAAUGAAAACUCUGCCUUGAAGGAUGAGUAUGAGAGUCCCAAUUUGGUAAUCCAAACUCUCCCAUGGCUUCUAAUGGCAUUGGAGCCUCAGUGCGGCCUGCAAAAGGCCCUAGCCCCAUGACUUUGCAAGAAACAGAACCCAGGGCAAGCUCCCCCUACGUCACUCCCAACACUUUCAGAAAGCCUGUAGCUGGCAGCCGCUGCCUGCACGCAGGGUUGUUGACCCGGAAGCAAUUCAGGAAGUGGGUGGUGUUGGCUGUCAGUUCCGGUGCAUCAGUGCAUCGCAGUUGCAUUCAUUUGCUGCUUGCCAGUCGUCUCUUUCGGAUUUGGGCAUUUGGAGCUGGUGUCGCAGAUCCUGAGCACCAUGGCUGAAGAGGAAGUAGGGAACAGCCAGAGGCAGGUAAGGUCCCAGCAGGGGUCAUCCUUUCCCCGCCUUUCCUUUUGAUUCUUUUUUUGUUGUUGUUGAUUUUGAGAUAGUGCCUCUACUUAUCAGUGGUUAUCCUGGGGUCACAGUUUCGGGCUGGUUUUGGACUCAGAGCUCUGCCUGCUGCUCAGAUGUGCAGUAUUAAAGGCAUGGGCUUUCAAAUUAAUCUCCAUUUAAUAUUAAUUAUAAACUAAAAUAAAUUCUUAAGUGGUUUGAAAUGGUUACCAAAAAAAAAAAAAAGCUACUGUUCCC